RNAcentral lists this long non-coding RNA (845 nucleotides) under Lonchura striata (white-rumped munia). RNAcentral's name for it is "domestica (Bengalese finch) lncRNA (ENSLSDG00000011830.1)". Lineage: Eukaryota; Metazoa; Chordata; Aves; Passeriformes; Estrildidae. The record is from RNAcentral.
AGUCUCAUCGGACCCCCGGGUGGGGGUGGGGGGUGCUGGGUCCCGGUUCUGGAUUUCCUCACGGAGUCCAGUUCUGGUUCUGGAUCCCCUCACUGGAUCCCGGUUCUGGAUCCCAGUCCUUGAUCCAGGCCCGACCCCGGAUCCCGGUGCCGGAGGAGGUCGGGGAUUCCCCAGCCCGGGAUCAGUCCUGGAUCAGUUCUGGAUCCCCUGGGACGGUUCUGGAUCCCGUGGAUCGCUUGGCGUCAUCCCAAACCUCUCCAGGCAGAUCCCAAACCUCUCCAGGCAGAUCCCAAACCUCUCUGCUGAAUCCCAAACAACUUCCAGACAGAUCCUAAAUCUUUCCAGACAGAUACUAAAUCCUUCCAGGCUGAUCCCAAACCCCUGGGGCAGAUCCCAAACCCCUCAGGGCAGAGAUGGAUCCCAAACCUCUCCAGGUGGAUCCCAAACCCCCAGGGCUGAUCCCAAACCUUUCAGGUGGAUCCCAAACCCCUGAGAUGGAUCCUAAGUCUUUCCAGGCCAAUCCCAAACCCCUGGGUCGGACCCCAAACCCCUCCAGAUGGACCCCAAACCCCUGAGAUGGAUCCAAAACCUCUCCAGGGUGAUCCCAAACCCCUCAGACUGAUCUGAAACCUCUCCAGGGUGAUCCCAAACCUCUCCAGGGCUGAUCCCAAACUUCUCCAGGUAGACCCCAAACCCCUGAGAUGGAUCCCAAACCCCUGCAGGUGGACUCCAAACCCGAGAUGGAUCCGAAACCUUUCCAGAUGGACCCCAAACCCCUCCAGGUGGAUCCCAAACCUCUCCAGGGCUGAUCCCAAACUUCUCCAGGUGGACCCCAAACCCCUGAG